This 253-nucleotide ribosomal RNA is filed under the name uncultured bacterium. Its description in RNAcentral is "partial 16S ribosomal RNA". It matches the Rfam family "Bacterial small subunit ribosomal RNA", at positions 524 to 776 of the family's 1533-position model. The record is from RNAcentral.
UACAGAGGGGGCAAGCGUUGUUCGGAAUUACUGGGCGUAAAGGGCGCGUAGGCGGCCGCCUAAGUCAGACGUGAAAUCCCUGGGCUCAACCCAGGAACUGCGUCCGAUACUGGUUGGCUUGAAUCCGGGAGAGGGACGUGGAAUUCCAGGUGUAGCGGUGAAAUGCGUAGAUAUCUGGAGGAACACCGGUGGCGAAGGCGACGUCCUGGACCGGCAUUGACGCUGAGGCGCGAAAGCCAGGGGAGCAAACGGG